CGCUGGCCGCGCAGAACACGCUUGCCACGUACACUUCCUUCAUGCUUGUGUAGCAGCGUCACAUCUUCCAGUGACCCAGCCGGAUGUCGAAGCUUAAAGCUGCAAUAUCGGAAAAUCCCCCAGUCCAGGUUUUCAGUCCAUUUAAAAUAUCGCUCAUAGCGACGUGGUUGGAGGAAGGAGCAUCGGCUUGAGGAAACUAACCUAAGGCAGAGUAUUGUCCCAGAGUAUUUAACGGCACAAACAAAAUGGCAUCGGGAUUUGCUGAUGAGAAAAAUG
Molecule: non-coding RNA, 276 nt
Organism: Electrophorus electricus (electric eel)
Lineage: Eukaryota; Metazoa; Chordata; Actinopteri; Gymnotiformes; Gymnotidae
Source: RefSeq, a predicted model, not a curated record